GUGCUCCCUUCACCAGCACAUACACUAAAACUGGAAUCAUAUGGAGAAGUUUAUCAUGGUCCCUGUGCAAACAUGACAUGCAAUUAAGUGAAUUAAUGCAAAAACAA
This is a small nuclear RNA of Callithrix jacchus (white-tufted-ear marmoset), 107 nucleotides long. The record is from Ensembl. Lineage: Eukaryota; Metazoa; Chordata; Mammalia; Primates; Cebidae.